GAUGAACGCUGGCGGCGUGCCUAACACAUGCCAGUCGAACGGACGGACGAUAAGCUUGCGUCUCUGAUGUUAGCGGCGGGCGGGUGAGUAACGCGUGUAUCCCCUACUUAUAAUUCGGGGAUAAUUUCGGAAAACCGGCUAUAAUACCAUAUAAUAUUCUGAACCGCAUGGUGCAAAAGAGAAUUACGGCCUUGGUGUCUCUUAUAGCUGGUUCCGCGCUGCAUUAGCUAGUUGGUAAGGUAAAGGCCUACCACGGCAACGAGGCGUAGCCGAGCGGAGAGGGUGAUCGGCCACAUGGGAACGGAGACACGGUCCAGACUCCUACGGGAGGCAGCAGUAGGGAAUGUGAGGCAAUGGGCGAAAGCCUGACGGAGCAACGCCGCGUGAGUGAUGAAGGUCUUCGGAUCGUAAAGCCCUGUUAUUAGGGAAGAACAGCUGUGGAAGGAAAUGUGCACAUCGUGACGGUACCUAAUCAGAAAGCAACGGCUAACUACGUG
Molecule: ribosomal RNA, 497 nt
Filed under: uncultured bacterium
Lineage: Bacteria
Description: partial 16S ribosomal RNA
Rfam family: Bacterial small subunit ribosomal RNA
Source: RNAcentral